This 580-nucleotide ribosomal RNA is filed under the name uncultured rumen bacterium. RNAcentral's name for it is "bacterial SSU rRNA". It matches the Rfam family "Bacterial small subunit ribosomal RNA", at positions 190 to 786 of the family's 1533-position model. The record is from RNAcentral.
UGACACAGGGGUCAAAGGAGCAAUCCGGUGAAGGGUGAGCUCGCGUCCGAUUAGAUAGUUGGUGAGGUAACGGCCCACCAAGUCGACGAUCGGUAGCCGACCUGAGAGGGUGAUCGGCCACAUUGGGACUGAGACACGGCCCAAACUCCUACGGGAGGCAGCAGUGGGGAAUAUUGGGCAAUGGGGGGAACCCUGACCCAGCAACGCCGCGUGAGGGAAGAAGGUUUUCGGAUCGUAAACCUCUGUCCUUGGUGAAGAGCAAGAGACGGUAGCCAAGGAGGAAGCCCCGGCUAACUACGUGCCAGCAGCCGCGGUAAUACGUAGGGGGCAAGCGUUGUCCGGAAUGAUUGGGCGUAAAGGGCGCGUAGGCGGCCCGGUAAGUCUGAAGUGAAAGUCCUGUUUUCAAGAUGGGAAUUGCUUUGGAUACUGUCGGGCUUGAGUGCAGGAGAGGUAAGUGGAAUUCCCAGUGUAGCGGUGAAAUGCGUAGGGAUUGGGAGGAACACCAGUGGCGAAGGCGACUUACUGGACUGUAACUGACGCUGAGGCGCGAAAGUGUGGGGAGCAAACAGGAUUAGAUACC